AUUGAACGCUGGCGGCAUGCUUUACACAUGCAAGUCGGACGGCAGCACAGAGAAGCUUGCUUCUUGGGUGGCGAGUGGCGAACGGGUGAGUAACAUAUCGGAACGUACCGAGUAAUGGGGGAUAACUAAUCGAAAGAUUAGCUAAUACCGCAUAUUCUCUGAGGAGGAAAGCAGGGGACCUUCGGGCCUUGCGUUAUUCGAGCGGCCGAUAUCUGAUUAGCUAGUUGGUGGGGUAAAGGCCUACCAAGGCGACGAUCAGUAGCGGGCCUGAGAGGAUGAUCCGCCACACUGGGACUGAGACACGGCCCAGACUCCUACGGGAGGCAGCAGUGGGGAAUUUUGGACAAUGGGCGCAAGCCUGAUCCAGCCAUGCCGCGUGUCUGAAGAAGGCCUUCGGGUUGUAAAGGACUUUUGUCAGGGAAGAAAAGGCUGUUGCUAAUACCGACAGCUGAUGACGGUACCUGAAGAAUAAGC
Molecule: ribosomal RNA, 474 nt
Filed under: Neisseria flavescens
Lineage: Bacteria; Pseudomonadati; Pseudomonadota; Betaproteobacteria; Neisseriales; Neisseriaceae
Description: bacterial SSU rRNA
Rfam family: Bacterial small subunit ribosomal RNA
Source: RNAcentral